This 745-nucleotide long non-coding RNA is filed under the name Heterocephalus glaber (naked mole-rat). Its description in RNAcentral is "lncRNA (ENSHGLG00000034330.1)". The record is from RNAcentral. Lineage: Eukaryota; Metazoa; Chordata; Mammalia; Rodentia; Bathyergidae.
CAGCUUUUAUAAACCUGUAGGUUUAUGUAUCUUGCAAAACCUGGGACAUUUUCAGCCAUUGAUUUUUCAAGUUCCCUCUCAGCCCUGUCUUCUCUCUCUUUUUCUUUCAAGACGCCAAUGACAUGAAGGAUCUAGAGGACCAGGAGUAACAAGGAGCAAGAAUUAUCAUCUUGAAGAUGACCAACUGUAGAAGUACCCCUGUUAUUUCCUAUAGAAGAAAGACAUCCCCCGAAUGAAGGAUGAGAAGCAUAAACCGCUUUCACUUCUCAAAUGUCAAUUCCAGAAAUAAAUGAGCCAUCACAAGCAGAGUUCCUUGCAAGGCUGAGCCCAGGCACACCUGUCAAGGGGAUGUUUCCGGUGGCACUUUCAGCUUUCUCCAGCCUUGCCACACCUGGUGGGCUCUGCUCUCUGCUCCACACAGGCACUCUACUGUUCCUUCUAUCAACUCCUUCUUUCAGGAAAAGAGCUGGAUGUUAUCUUUACUGGGACCAAGGCUGGGUCACAGCUGACAGCUUGAAGUUUCCUACUUAAUAGGUUUCUUUAAAGACUAAAAAUGGCUGAAAGCCAUAACUUGGGUGAACGCCUGCUGGCUGAGGGUCAAGCAUUAGCUGGUAGGUAAAGGGGGACAUUAUUCAGGCAGGAAAAUAUUGCCAGUGUCCCUGAAAUUCCUACACAGAGCUGCUGACUGGGCCCUUCAUAAGGAUAUGGAUGGACAAGUAAGCAUCUUCCACGAGCACACACCUGC